Molecule: ribosomal RNA, 542 nt
Filed under: uncultured bacterium
Lineage: Bacteria
Description: bacterial SSU rRNA
Rfam family: Bacterial small subunit ribosomal RNA
Source: RNAcentral
GAGAAACCUACCGCAUCAUUCCGGAUAAUUGGUCGAAAGGCCUUGUAAUACGGGGGAGGUUCGUUGAUGGGCAUCCAUUAACGAACGAACGAGCAAUCGGUGCUGUGAUGGUCUCGCGGCUUAUCAGGUAGUUGGUGGGGUAACGGCCUACCAAGCCUACGACGAGUAGCUGGUCUGAGAGGAUGGUCAGCCACAUUGGAACUGAGACACUGUCCAGACUCCUACGGGAGGCUGCAGUCGAGAAUCUUGGGCAAUGCACGAAAGUGUGACCCAGCGACGCCGCGUGAAGGAUGAAGGCCCUCUGGGUCGUAAACUUCUUUUACGGGAGAAGAAGAACUGACGGUAUCCCGUGAAUAAGCCACGGCUAACUACGUGCCAGCAGCCGCGGUAAUACGUAGGUGGCAAGCGUUGUCCGGAUUUACUGGGCGUAAAGCGCGCGCAGGCGGAUGGUUAAGUAGGAAGUGAAAGGUUGGAGCUCAACUCCAACAUUGCUCCCUAUACUGGCCGUCUUGAGUCCCGGAGAGGAAAGCGGAACGACACGU